CACGUAGGGGGCAAGCGUUGUCCGGAUUUAUUGGGCGUAAAGAGCUCGUAGGCGGUUCGGUAAGUCGGGUGUGAAACCUCCAGGCUCAACCUGGAGACGCCACCCGAUACUGCUGUGACUAGAGUCCGGUAGGGGAGCGUGGAAUUCCUGGUGUAGCGGUGAAAUGCGCAGAUAUCAGGAGGAACACCGAUGGCGAAGGCAGGUCUCUGGGCCGAUACUGACGCUGAGGAGCGAAAGCGUGGGGAGCAAACAGG
RNAcentral lists this ribosomal RNA (254 nucleotides) under uncultured bacterium. RNAcentral describes it as "partial 16S ribosomal RNA". It matches the Rfam family "Bacterial small subunit ribosomal RNA", at positions 524 to 776 of the family's 1533-position model. The record is from RNAcentral.